Molecule: long non-coding RNA, 558 nt
Organism: Trichomycterus rosablanca
Lineage: Eukaryota; Metazoa; Chordata; Actinopteri; Siluriformes; Trichomycteridae
Exons: 3
Source: RefSeq, a predicted model, not a curated record
CUACGCAGCUCCAGUUGCAUUAUGGGAUACAUUAACGGACCACAAGUGUGCAUCGCUUGCAUACUCAAACAUGGCUGCCCAAUAAGUAGGUCAUCCGGGUACUUCUCGCGUACCUCUUUGUGUAUACUAUAUAUUCGGACAUGCUAACCGCUCUAGCGUCCUCAUUUCGCGUACUAUUGAGUAUGGAAGUAUGCGAUUCCGGAUGCAGCUAAUACACAUAAAAAGGUACGCGAGAAGUACCCGGAUGACCUACUUCUUGGGCAGCCAUCUUUGAGUAUGCAAGCGAUGCGCACUUGCGGUCCGCUAAUGUAUCCCAUAAUGCAACUGAAGCUGCGUAGGCGAUCGAAGCGAAAGAAGAAACAAGAAUGAUAGUGGAGUCUUCCGUUCAAGUAUAUUUAAUAAUGCAGUCAGCAGAAGAGGGACACGUCACUCCUGUGGAUCUACAACAUGAAGGAUUUCAAAAAAUAAUAAUAAAAGAAGAAGAUGGAAGUUACUUUUAACUGAAAAAGGAUUUCUCCUGCUCCUCGUGUCCACGUUCCUCUACAACCCAAAAUCACC